RNAcentral lists this unclassified non-coding RNA (348 nucleotides) under soil metagenome. RNAcentral's name for it is "partial contains 5.8S ribosomal RNA, internal transcribed spacer 2, and large subunit ribosomal RNA". The stretch from base 1 to 120 matches the Rfam family "5.8S ribosomal RNA", at positions 35 to 154 of the family's 154-position model. The record is from RNAcentral.
GACGAAGAACGUAGUGAAAUGCGAUAAGUAAUGUGAAUUGCAGAAUUCCGUGAAUCAUCGAAUCUUUGAACGCACAUUGCGCCCCCUGGCAUUCCGGGGGGCAUGCCUGUCCGAGCGUCAUUUCUGCCCUCAAGCCCGGCUUGUGUGUUGGGCGUGGUCCCCCCGGUUUAGGGGGGACCUGCCCGAAAGGCAGCGGCGACGUUCCGCCUAGGUCCUCGAGCGUAUGGGGCUUUGUCACCCGCUCGGGAGGGGCCUACGGGCGUUGGCCAUCCACCAUUUUUUUUUACGGUUGACCUCGGAUCAGGUAGGAGUUACCCGCUGAACUUAAGCAUAUCAAUAAGCGGAGGA